CGGAGGAUGCAAGCGUUAUCCGGAUUCAUUGGGUUUAAAGGGUGCGUAGGCGGACUUGUAAGUCAGGGGUGAAAUCCGGCAGCUCAACUGUCGAACUGCCUCUGAUACUGCAGGUCUUGAGUCAACAUGAAGCAGGCGGAAUAUGGCAUGUAGCGGUGAAAUGCAUAGAUAUGCCAUAGAACACCGAUAGCGAAGGCAGCCUGCUAAAGUUGUACUGACGCUGAUGCACGAAAGCGUGGGUAGCGAACAGGAUUAGAUACCCUGGUAGUCCACGCCGUAAACGAUGAUCACUCGCUGCAUGCGAUAGACAGUAUGCGGCCAAGCGAAAGCGUUAAGUGAUCCACCUGGGGAAUACGAUCGCAAGGUUG
This 368-nucleotide ribosomal RNA is filed under the name uncultured organism. Its description in RNAcentral is "bacterial SSU rRNA". It matches the Rfam family "Bacterial small subunit ribosomal RNA", at positions 526 to 896 of the family's 1533-position model. The record is from RNAcentral.